Molecule: ribosomal RNA, 433 nt
Filed under: uncultured bacterium
Lineage: Bacteria
Description: partial 16S ribosomal RNA
Rfam family: Bacterial small subunit ribosomal RNA
Source: RNAcentral
AACGAACGCUGGCGGCAGGCCUAACACAUGCAAGUCGAGCGCGCCCUUCGGGGUGAGCGGCGGACGGGUGAGUAACGCGUGGGAACGUGCCCUUUUCUACGGAAUAGCCUCGGGAAACUGAGAGUAAUACCGUAUACGCCCUUUGGGGGAAAGAUUUAUCGGAAAAGGAUCGGCCCGCGGUGGAUUAGGUAGUUGGUGGGGUAAUGGCCUACCAAGCCGACGAUCCAUAGCUGGUUUGAGAGGAUGAUCAGCCACACUGGGACUGAGACACGGCCCAGACUCCUACGGGAGGCAGCAGUGGGGAAUCUUGGACAAUGGGGGCAACCCUGAUCUAGCCAUGCCGCGUGAGUGAUGAAGGCCUUAGGGUUGUAAAGCUCUUUCAGCUGGGAAGAUAAUGACGGUACCAGCAGAAGAAGCCCCGGCUAACUCCGUG